Molecule: ribosomal RNA, 119 nt
Filed under: uncultured bacterium
Lineage: Bacteria
Description: partial 16S ribosomal RNA
Rfam family: Bacterial small subunit ribosomal RNA
Source: RNAcentral
UAGACGGGUCGGGGGUCGGGAACGGGCCCCACCGUAGGCGACGAUGCGUAGGGGUUCUGAGAGGAAGGCCCCCCACACUGGGACUGAGACACGGCCCAGACUCCUACGGAAGGCAGCAG